GACGAACGCUGGCGGCGUGCUUAACACAUGCAAGUCGAACGGAAAGGCCCUGCUUUUGUGGGGUGCUCGAGUGGCGAACGGGUGAGUAACACGUGAGUAACCUGCCCUUGACUUUGGGAUAACUUCAGGAAACUGGGGCUAAUACCGGAUAGGAGCUCCUGCUGCAUGGUGGGGGUUGGAAAGUUUCGGCGGUUGGGGAUGGACUCGCGGCUUAUCAGCUUGUUGGUGGGGUAGUGGCUUACCAAGGCUUUGACGGGUAGCCGGCCUGAGAGGGUGACCGGCCACAUUGGGACUGAGAUACGGCCCAGACUCCUACGGGAGGCAGCAGUGGGGAAUAUUGCACAAUGGGCGGAAGCCUGAUGCAGCAACGCCGCGUGCGGGAUGACGGCCUUCGGGUUGUAAACCGCUUUCGCCUGUGACGAAGCGUGAGUGACGGUAAUGGGUAAAGAAGCACCGGCUAACUACGUGCCAGCAGCCGCGGUGAUACGUAGGGUGCGAGCGUUGUCCGGAUUUAUUGGGCGUAAAGGGCUCGUAGGUGGUUGAUCGCGUCGGAAGUGUAAUCUUGGGGCUUAACCCUGAGCGUGCUUUCGAUACGGGUUGACUUGAGGAAGGUAGGGGAGAAUGGAAUUCCUGGUGGAGCGGUGGAAUGCGCAGAUAUCAGGAGGAACACCAGUGGCGAAGGCGGUUCUCUGGGCCUUUCCUGACGCUGAGGAGCGAAAGCGUGGGGAGCGAACAGGCUUAGAUACCCUGGUAGUCCACGCUGUAAACGGUGGGUACUAGGUGUGGGGUCCAUUCCACGGGUUCCGUGCCGUAGCUAACGCUUUAAGUACCCCGCCUGGGGAGUACGGCCGCAAGGCUAAAACUCAAAGGAAUUGACGGGGCCCCGCACAAGCGGCGGAGCAUGCGGAUUAAUUCGAUGCAACGCGUAGAACCUUACCUGGGUUUGACAUGGAUCGGGAGUGCUCAGAGAUGGGUGUGCCUCUUUUGGGGUCGGUUCACAGGUGGUGCAUGGCUGUCGUCAGCUCGUGUCGUGAGAUGUUGGGUUAAGUCCCGCAACGGGCGCAACCCUUGUUCACUGUUGCCAGCACGUUAUGGUGGGGACUCAGUGGAGACCGCCGGGGUCAACUCGGAGGAAGGUGGGGAUGACGUCAAGUCAUCAUGCCCCUUAUGUCCAGGGCUUCACGCAUGCUACAAUGGCUGGUACAGAGAGUGGCGAGCCUGUGAGGGUGAGCGAAUCUCGGAAAGCCGGUCUCAGUUCGGAUUGGGGUCUGCAACUCGACCUCAUGAAGUCGGAGUCGCUAGUAAUCGCAGAUCAGCAACGCUGCGGUGAAUACGUUCCCGGG
This 1343-nucleotide ribosomal RNA is filed under the name uncultured bacterium. Its description in RNAcentral is "16S ribosomal RNA". It matches the Rfam family "Bacterial small subunit ribosomal RNA", at positions 28 to 1378 of the family's 1533-position model. The record is from RNAcentral.